UAGGGAAUCUUCCGCAAUGGGCGAAAGCCUGACGGAGCAAUGCCGCGUGAGUGAAGAAGGCCUUCGGGUCGUAAAACUCUGUUAUAAGAGAAGAACAAAUUGUAGAGUAACUGCUACAGUCUUGACGGUAUCUUAUCAGAAAGCCACGGCUAACUACGUGCCAGCAGCCGCGGUAAUACGUAGGUGGCAAGCGUUGUCAGGAUUUAUUGGGCGUAAAGGGAGCGCAGGUGGUUUCUUAAGUCUGAUGUGAAAGCCCACGGCUUAACCGUGGAGGGUCAUUGGAAACUGGGAAACUUGAGUACAGAAGAGGAAUGUGGAACUCCAUGUGUAGCGGUGGAAUGCGUAGAUAUAUGGAAGAACACCAGUGGCGAAGGCGACAUUCUGGUCUGUUACUGACACUGAGGCUCGAAAGCGUGGGGAGCAAACAGG
RNAcentral lists this ribosomal RNA (429 nucleotides) under Acidobacteriota bacterium. Its description in RNAcentral is "Acidobacteria bacterium partial 16S ribosomal RNA". It matches the Rfam family "Bacterial small subunit ribosomal RNA", at positions 355 to 776 of the family's 1533-position model. Lineage: Bacteria; Pseudomonadati; Acidobacteriota. The record is from RNAcentral.